Molecule: long non-coding RNA, 1017 nt
Organism: Glossina fuscipes
Lineage: Eukaryota; Metazoa; Arthropoda; Insecta; Diptera; Glossinidae
Exons: 3
Source: RefSeq, a predicted model, not a curated record
ACUUGUUUUACUACAAAAGAAAAGUUUCAAAGAAAUCUGGAACAAAACUUAGCUUUUCUCAUUAACAAUAUAGUUACGUGUAAAAAAAAAACUCGUAAAUAUUCUUAUAAGUAGUUUAUUUAGUGAUUUUAUUUUUUUUUUUGUAAAAAAAUUAGGAUUUUCUUUAGGGUUUUUUUUGUUUCCAAAUUAAGAACUAUGUUUUAAGACAAUGCGGCUAAGUUAGAAAUGCUAGGGAACGACUUUUAUAUAAUUUAAAGGGUAUUAAAAAAUGCAUUGUGAAAUUAAUGUAGCUAUACUCUACACAUUUGCGCUGAAAAGUACUUUUUUUAUAGACGGUGUAAAAGAAAACUCGGCUAACGGCCCUGGGUUAGAGAGAAUUUUAGCAGAUUUAAACGCAGAAUCAGCUGAAGUACCGUACGCUACUCUACUAGUUGGUGUUUCGUAGGCUGGAACAGGAGCAUUCCUUGUCUACGUGAAAGGUUGUAGUCGGAAUAUGACAAACGUAAUCCUUCGGAAAGAUCCAGAACUGCGUCUGCAAAACGGCCGAAAAUAGCUUGUGGAGCGAAAAAAAACAAAAAAUUUGUCAUGCCUUCAAAAAUGAUCACCUAAAUUAGCACGAUUAAAAACCCAGUAACCAAAGGAAAAAAUGUAAAGACCGCAAACCAAGGCUGAUGUUUGGAAACAACAACACGCAAAAAAUAAGAAAGACACUUUUUGACGAACACCAAGUGCUGAUCGCAAAAACCAACAUGAUGAAACUAAAAAGUUCAAUAUGUCACAAUAAAUUUAAACACUUAUAUAAUUACUUAGUUUUUAAAACCGUACAAAGCAAUAAAAUAAAAAAGAAAUUGCAAAGUUUCUACUCACAAAGCAAAAAAUGGGGCCACAGUGCGCAGAUUCAGUUGAUCGCCACAGAUACAAACUUGGUAUAAAUGUUUCCUAACGACAUAAAUACACAAAAUUUUGAAGGCCAUCUGACGAACAAACAGUUUACAAUAGUUCUGCACACGUUUGAAC